GUCCUAGCCGUAAACGAUGAGCACUAGGUGUUGGGGGUAACCUUCAGCGCCGUAAGAUAACUCGUUAAGUGCUCCACCUGGGGACUACGACCGCAAGGUUAAAACUCAAAGGAAUUGACGGGGGCCCGCACAAGCGGUGGAACAUGUGGUUCAAUUCGACGCUACGCGAAGAACCUCACCAGGGCUUGACAUGCAGGAAGUAUGAAGCGGAAACGCGGAAGACCUGUCAAGUCAGGAGCCUGCACAGGUGUUGCAUGGCUGUCGU
RNAcentral lists this ribosomal RNA (265 nucleotides) under uncultured bacterium. Its description in RNAcentral is "partial 16S ribosomal RNA". It matches the Rfam family "Bacterial small subunit ribosomal RNA", at positions 793 to 1055 of the family's 1533-position model. The record is from RNAcentral.